Molecule: ribosomal RNA, 431 nt
Filed under: uncultured bacterium
Lineage: Bacteria
Description: partial 16S ribosomal RNA
Rfam family: Bacterial small subunit ribosomal RNA
Source: RNAcentral
AACGAACGCUGGCGGCAGGCUUAACACAUGCAAGUCGAACGCCCCGCAAGGGGAGUGGCAGACUGGUGGGUAACGCGUGGGAACAUACCCUUUCCUGCGGAAUAGCUCCGGGAAACUGGAAUUAUUACCGCAUACGCCCUACGGGGGGAAGAUUUAUCGGGGAAGGAUUGGCCCGCGUUGGAUUAGCUGGUUGGUGGGGUAAAGUCCUAGCAUGGCGACGAUCCAUAGCUGGGCUGAGAUGAGGAUAAGCCACAUUGGAACUGCGACACGGCCCAAACUCCUACGCAAGGGAGCAGUAGGGAAUAUUAGAGGAUGGGCGCAAGCCUAAUCCAGCCAUGCCGGGUGAGAGAUGAAGGCCUUAGGGUUGUAAAGCUCUUUCACCGAUGAAGAUAAUGACGGUAGUCGGAGAAGAAGCCCCGGCUAACUACGUG